CCCUUAGAUGUUCUGGGCCGCACGCGCGCUACACUGUUCGACGCAGCGAGCCUUAACCUUGACCGAAAGGUUUGGGUAAUCUUCGGCAAAGUCGAACGUGAUGGGGAUCGAUCGUUGCAAUUAUUGAUCGUGAACGAGGAAUUCCUAGUAAGUGCAAGUCAUCAGCUUGCGCUGAUUACGUCCCUGCCCUUUGUACACACCGUCCGUCGCUACUACCGAUUGAAUGGAGAGGCAAAAUCUUCGGACCGUGACGCUUGGGAGUCAAAUCUCGGGCUGUCGUGGGAAGUGGAUUAAACCUUUCUAUUUAGAGGAAGGUAAAGUCGUAACA
Molecule: ribosomal RNA, 328 nt
Filed under: uncultured eukaryote
Lineage: Eukaryota
Description: partial 18S ribosomal RNA
Rfam family: Eukaryotic small subunit ribosomal RNA
Source: RNAcentral